RNAcentral lists this ribosomal RNA (465 nucleotides) under uncultured bacterium. RNAcentral's name for it is "partial 16S ribosomal RNA". It matches the Rfam family "Bacterial small subunit ribosomal RNA", at positions 339 to 795 of the family's 1533-position model. The record is from RNAcentral.
CUACGGGAGGCACCAGUGGGGAAUAUUGGACAAUGGGGGAAACCCUGAUCCAGCAAUGCCGCGUGUGUGAAGAAGGCCUGCGGGUUGUAAAGCACUUUCGGUUGGGAGGACUGCUUCUAGCACUAAUAUUGUUGGAAGUUGACGUUACCUUCAGAAGAAGCACCGGCUAACUCCGUGCCAGCAGCCGCGGUAAUACGGAGGGUGCAGGCGUUAAUCGGAAUUACUGGGCGUAAAGCGCGCGUAGGCGGCUAGAUCAGUCGGGUGUGAAAGCCCCGGGCUUAACCUGGGAACUGCAUCCGAUACUGUCUAGCUUGAGUACAGGAGAGGAGAGUGGAAUUCCACAUGUAGCGGUGAAAUGCGUAGAUAUGUGGAGGAACACCAGUGGCGAAGGCAGCUCUCUGGCCUGAUACUGACGCUGAGGUGCGAAAGCGUGGGGAGCAAACAGGAUUAGAUACCCGGGUAGUC